This 69-nucleotide transfer RNA is filed under the name Urocitellus parryii (Arctic ground squirrel). Its description in RNAcentral is "Spermophilus parryii (Arctic ground squirrel) tRNA". It matches the Rfam family "tRNA". Rfam says of the family: Transfer RNA (tRNA) molecules are approximately 80 nucleotides in length. Their secondary structure includes four short double-helical elements and three loops (D, anti-codon, and T loops). RNAcentral also lists the same sequence under 1 other name. The record is from Rfam by way of RNAcentral. Lineage: Eukaryota; Metazoa; Chordata; Mammalia; Rodentia; Sciuridae.
GGGGUUGUGGCUCAGAGGUAGAGCCCUUGCCUAGCAUGCGUGAGGCCCUGGGUUCAAUCCUCAGCACCA